This is a non-coding RNA of Meleagris gallopavo (turkey), 647 nucleotides long. The record is from RefSeq and is a predicted model, not a curated record. NCBI's taxonomy places the organism in Eukaryota, Metazoa, Chordata, Aves, Galliformes, Phasianidae.
CUGCCACUGAGGAUCAAUAUUUUUCUGGAGACUGCUCCUUGUGGUGUUUUACUGCAAGCCUAUGAUACUGGGGGGGGGAAAAAAAAACACCUGAGUGGACUGGAUGAAGACUUCCUUACUUUUAAGAUCAACAGUAGUGUGAAUCUAAAUCUUUUAAAGAACUUCUUACAAAAUCAUCCCUCUGGCACCUGUAGGGCCACUACAACAUGUACAUACCAGUCUGUACAAGUUGCUGGUCCAGGAGAGAGAGGACUUGAAUUUAGACUGAGUCAAUGCAAAUGUGCAACAACAUAGAAGUCCGAAGUCUGAGGCGCAAGUAUGCAGGGAGUCAGAGUGAAGCUGAAUUAACACAUCUGUCCAGAAAAACUGUCUUAGCUAUGCAGCAGUGCCACGUGGCUUCUCUGCCAGUGGGAGUAUCAUCUCUUUCUUGUAAAGGAAAGGGGUAAAUGUGAUUUCAUUAUGCCAAAAAUGCUUUUUUUUUUUUUAUUUGAGUGCUCCCAUUUUAUCUCUAUGGUGAAGCUCCUGAUGAUGGUGUAAAACUGAUAAGCAAUAAAUACUGGAAUUGAAGAAUACAUUACAGCAUACAGUUUUUCUUCCACAUGGACUUUAAGAAAGCAAAACUUGCUUUACAAUAUCUCUAGCCCUGU